Non-coding RNA from Marmota flaviventris (yellow-bellied marmot), 466 nucleotides. The record is from the annotation of a RefSeq genome assembly. NCBI's taxonomy places the organism in Eukaryota, Metazoa, Chordata, Mammalia, Rodentia, Sciuridae.
AAAUGUUCAGCAAUGGGAACUCUUCUGACUGAGGAACUUGGCUCCCUUUUAGGGCACAGAGCUGUGCCUCCUGUGAUCCCAAUAAGGAAGGAAGAUGCAGAAACUCCUGAGAGGGUGAACAGUCAACAAGAAGAAGAGAGCCCUCGGGUCCUGAGUGUCCAGGAGGGUGAAAAUGCCACCAUGAACUGCAGUUACAAAAGUAGUACUACCACUCUGCAGUGGUAUAGACAGGAUUCAGGUAAAGGUCCUGCUUUGGUGAUCUUAAUACGUUCAAAUGAGAAAGAAAAACACAGUGGAAGACUAACAGCCACCCUGGACACCUCCACCAAAAGAAGUGUCCUGUCCAUCACGGCUUCCCAGGCUGCAGAUGCUGCCACUUACUUCUGUGCUACAGAUGCACAGUGAUCAGCAGGCACCUGCAGCCCUGACGCAAACCCUGCCAGGGCUGCUUCCCAGAAGCCCUGAC